Molecule: ribosomal RNA, 700 nt
Filed under: fungal endophyte
Lineage: Eukaryota; Fungi
Description: eukaryotic LSU rRNA
Rfam family: 5.8S ribosomal RNA (bases 210-363)
Source: RNAcentral
CGGAGGGAUCAUUACUGAGAGCGUAAAAACUCCCAAAACCCUGUGAAUUUACCAUUUUAUUCGUUGCUUCGGCGGUGCGGUCUCGAGCUGAGGCCCCCGCGUGAGGCCCUCCCCAUGUGGGGCAGGGCGCCCGCCGAGCGACACCCAACGCAAACUCUUGUCGUACCAAACUAGUAUAACUCUGAGUAACAAAGAUUUAAAUAAAUCAAAACUUUCAACAACGGAUCUCUUGGUUCUGGCAUCGAUGAAGAACGCAGCGAAAUGCGAUAAGUAAUGUGAAUUGCAGAAUUCAGCGAAUCAUCGAAUCUUUGAACGCACAUUGCGCCCGCCAGCACUCUGGCGGGCAUGCCUGUUCGAGCGUCAUUUCAACCCUCAAGCCCUGGUUGCUUGGUGUUGGGGUACCUCUGCCGCGCCCUGGAGCGCCGGCAGGCCCCGAAAGACAGUGGCGGGCCCUCUGGGACUCCGAGCGCAGUAAUAACCUCUCGCUCUGGACCGUCCCGCGUGGGAUUCCCGGCCGUUAAACCGCACCGCAGAGACUCGUCUCGGCGCGCUUCUUUAUAAGGUUGACCUCGGAUCAGGUAGGAAUACCCGCUGAACUUAAGCAUAUCAAUAAGCGGAGGAAAAGAAACCAACAGGGAUUGCCCCAGUAACGGCGAGUGAAGCGGCAACAGCUCAAAUUUGAAAUCUGGCCCCAGGCCCG